UACGGAGGGAGCUAGCGUUGUUCGGAAUUACUGGGCGUAAAGCGCGCGUAGGCGGCUUUGUAAGUUAGAGGUGAAAGCCCGGGGCUCAACCCCGGAACUGCCUUUAAGACUGCAUCGCUUGAAUCCAGGAGAGGUGAGUGGAAUUCCGAGUGUAGAGGUGAAAUUCGUAGAUAUUCGGAAGAACACCAGUGGCGAAGGCGGCUCACUGGACUGGUAUUGACGCUGAUGUGCGAAAGCGUGGGGAGCAAACGGG
RNAcentral lists this ribosomal RNA (253 nucleotides) under uncultured bacterium. RNAcentral describes it as "partial 16S ribosomal RNA". It matches the Rfam family "Bacterial small subunit ribosomal RNA", at positions 524 to 776 of the family's 1533-position model. The record is from RNAcentral.